GCUGACUAGCUGAAACUUUUCUGAGAAGAGACCAUUUUGUACAAGAGGAAGCAGUGUCGCUCUGGAACGAACUCACAACAUAAUUUCAAUUGACCAGAACAGUUCCUUGACAGAAGCAGCUGGAGGUUGGGCAAGGAAUUCCUUGGAGAGAGGGAAUCCAUGGCAGGAAGGCUAUGAGCACUCCCUGACUGCCUCGGGGAGAAAACCAACCAUGGACCUGCGGAACAUCCCCUACCGCUCGGACGUGCUCACCUGGGACCCAGAUGACUUGGCAGAAUAUUUCAGGACGCUAAAGUAUAAAGACUGUGAGAAAGUCGUGAGGAAGCACAGCAUAAAUGGACAAAGGUUUUUGAACAUGUCUGAAAAUGAUAUUCAGAAAUUUCCAAAGCUCAGAGUGCCAAUUGUAAGUAAAUUAAGCCAAGAAAUAAACAAAAAUGAAGGGAGGCUCUCUUUCCUUCCAAAGUGGGCCCAAACACAAAAAUCUCCAGAAAACACAGGGUACGCUCAGGAUGACGGUGGCUGGUCCUCGUUUGAUGAUGAUGAUGAUGAUGAUGACUAUGAAAGCCCUGAUGAAGACCAGGAAAAGGAAGAUGAGGCUGACUAUGAAUCACCAACAGAGGAGCCUGAGGAAGCAGGACAUGACAGUGAUGGUUAUGAGCCACCUCCAACCAAUAAUGAUGAAGCACAUCACAAUGUCAUAUUUCCUGCCAAGUCACUUCCAAGCAGCACAGAUUAUAUAGACAGACCUUCAACAACCAGAUCACCGCAUCAGCCUCCAGUACCUCCCCAGCGACCUGGCCCAGCCUCAUUUGGGGGAAGAAGUGUUACUCUGCCAGCUUUCCCUCCUCCACCAAGCAACAACGACUUGAGUAGAGACAGAAACAUGAAGCCUUUGAAACCCCCAGCUCCUUCUAUAGACAGAAGCACAAAACCCUCUCUGGAUCGUUUUGCUCCCCCAUAUGAAAGAGAAAGCCCAGGAUCAGGGAAGAAGCCAGGCAUUCCUGAAAAGCCUCUGGUUUCACAGCUCAGAUCCCUGGGAGAACAAUUAGCAAUGAUGCCAAAACCUCCUGUUCCACCAAGUGACAGAUAUGAAAGAGGCAAUCCACCUCCUCUAAGGAAGCAAAGCCCUGGAAAACAGAUUUGGCCACCACACAAGAAAAAUGAAGAAGAAGAAGACACUGCCCUCCAAAGACCAGUGCCACAGCUGUCUUUGCCCCCAUACAGCUCCAAUGCAUUCCCACCCAAAUCUGUCAAGCCUCCACCUAAGCCAGGAUCCAACAACAUUCCUGCUGCAGAAAGUUCUAGAAACUUGUCUUCAACUGGCUCUCUACCACCACGCUUCCAUCCAGGCAGCAACAGCAGAUCUCCUUCAAGAGGCCCAGCUGACAUGAGACCUCCAUUGCCAGCUCCUAGCAGACAGACUGUUCACCAGACAAACACACAGGAAUAUGAGCCCCAGGGCUCUCUGAAGGAUGAGUGGUACGUGGCUUUUGUCAGCCGGCCCGAGGCAGAGACAGCGCUCCGCAGGAUAAACAAGGAUGGAACAUUCUUGGUGAGAGACAGCUCACGAAAAACUGUCACUCACCCAUAUGUACUGAUGGUGCUGUACAGAGAUAAAGUGUACAACAUCCAGAUCCGGUACCAGCAGCAGGACCACUUAUAUUUAUUAGGAACCAGCUUAAAAGGAAAAGAGGAAUUUUCUUCUGUAGCAGAUAUCAUUGACCACUUUCAAAGAACACCUCUUCUUCUGAUUGAUGGAAAAGACAGAGGCUCAAGAAAUCAGUGCAUGUUAAAAUACGCGGCAGGACAUGUUUAAAUGAAACUUUAGAGAAGAUCACAUAUGAUGUUUAGCUUAAAAUAAAAAUAGUUUAACUGCAGGAAACCAUGCUAUCAUUGAACGGUCCAAACUUAAUUAAAAGAAAGAAGAUGAAGAAGAAGAAAAAGCAGCAGUUUCAUCAGCAUGAAUAGAAGACAAUACAUAAAAAUGGAUGUUACUUAAUCUGUCAAACUCCAAGUCUUUUCUUCAGCUUCUCUUAAAUCUUUGGCCUUCACAGGAUGGUUGAAAUUCAAAAUCAGGUCACAAAGCAGUAGCUGGCUUUCCACUGGAAGACAAAGGCUGUGCUGUAGUACCGAAAGCCAGGGACACCAAGCAGAGGAAUGGCUGUCAGCACUUUUCUUUAAUUUACUGGAACCACUUUUCCUGCUGCUCAGCAUUCAUCUGUAUUUUGGACUCACUGUUUGGCACCAGUGGAGAAGGAAUAAGCAGCAUCUCAGAGGAGAGUGGAGUUACUUGGAUGUGCAGUAGAGAACAGAUGGACAGGGUGUGCUUGGGAUGUGCUUUCAUGGUAUUUCUUCUUUAAAACAAAGCAUUUUAAAUGUAUUGGUUUAUGACUGAAUUGCAACUCAGAGCAACACAUUCUGGUAUGGCAGAAUUGAACUGUGAUUCAAAGAGAAAACGUGAUAUGCUGCUUCCACUGUGGGGCUUUCUGGAGAUGAGAAAUGCAGAGCAGGAAACCCUUCACACAUGCACUAAUUCCUGUACUAAACCCUUUCAGUUUACAACCUCUCACCAGCACCCCAGUGCAAACAAGUUAACUGUGCCUUUUCUGUGGCCCGAAGGAAAAAGUCCAGCUGAAGUUGCUGAUUUUGCUGGUAGAACACAAAAUAAAGCUGUGUACCAAAGAAUAUACAAGGUGGUUUUAUGUAUUUUCAAAAUAAGAACCUACAAAAGUUUAUAUAGAUACAAAAAAGCAAAAUGGUAUCCUAGCAAGGUCCUGAAAAUAUUUGAGUCGGUAGAAAAAGCAGUUAUUUGCUUCACUAACCUGUAAAGCAGAAUGCUUCAACUGAUAAACCCCUGUUUCUGUCAGUUUACUUUCUACAUUCGGAUGUUUUUUGCACAUCCUAUAAAUAAUCAUUCCCAUUGUAUUUAAAUUCUUCUGUAAACUGACAGUAGAAGGAAAACCAGGAAAUGGUCCAUCACAAAGAAAACCAUUGUAAUGACCAGAAAAUUUAGAUUCAAAAUAUGUACAAUAAAUUGAGUUUCCAGAAUCAAUAAAGCAGAGCCUUUCUAUAAAUAAUCUUCAAAAAUGUGAGAUUUUAACCAGCAAGGCGACCAACAGUGCAGGAGAUUGACUAUACAUGACAUUUGAAAAAAAAAAACAACAGAGUAAGAGAUA
Molecule: RNA transcript, 3176 nt
Organism: Poecile atricapillus (Black-capped chickadee)
Lineage: Eukaryota; Metazoa; Chordata; Aves; Passeriformes; Paridae
Gene: LCP2
Gene name: lymphocyte cytosolic protein 2
Exons: 23
Source: RefSeq, a predicted model, not a curated record